Molecule: ribosomal RNA, 275 nt
Filed under: uncultured bacterium
Lineage: Bacteria
Description: partial 16S ribosomal RNA
Rfam family: Bacterial small subunit ribosomal RNA
Source: RNAcentral
CCUACGGGUGGCUGCAGUCGAGAAUUUUUCACAAUGGGCGAAAGCCUGAUGGAGCGACGCCGCGUGGGGGAUGAAUGGCUUCGGCCCGUAAACCCCUGUCAUUUGCGAACAAACCUUAUUCAUUAACACUGAAUGAGCUGAUUGUAGCGGAAGAGGAAGGGACGGCUAACUCUGUGCCAGCAGCCGCGGUAAUACAGAGGUCCCGAGCGUUGUUCGGAUUCACUGGGCGUAAAGGGUGCGUAGGUGGUGAGGUAAGUCGGAUGUGAAAUCUCCGG